AUUUCAGGACUGGGUCUUUGUCAUCUCUGUCCCUGUUCCCCUCCCCGCCCCAGGCUAGCACAGAGCAAGGUGCCCAAUGGAUGUUCCUUCCAUGAAGGCCAUCCUGCCUUUCCACAGCACAGGGUGAUGGCGAAGAGUACAAGCUGCGUGCAUCCAAGUCCCAAGGCUCUCACGUACCACUGUAUGACCUUGGGCAAGUUACCUGACCUCUCUGUACCAAACCAGGGAGAAUAAUAGCACAUGCCUUGUAGGGACAUGGCAAUAAUUAAGUGCACCAAUAUUUAUAAAACUCUUCCAGAUGUCCGGGACAUUGUGAGAAUAUUUAAGUGUCUGAUAAAUGAAGACAUAACAAAAUAUUUUCCACCUGAGCAGCUGAGGGCAAGGUUUAGUCCUGUUUUUUGGACCACCAUCUCCUGAGUCAGGAGUCAGCAGAUUUUGUAAGUGGCAUUUUGUGCGUGUGUCUUUUUUAAGGGCCACACCUGCCGCAUAUGGAAGUUCCCAGACUAGGGGUUGAAUCAGAGCUGCAGCUGCUAGCCCACACCACAGCCACUCAUUGCCAUGAGCUGUGGUGUAGAUCACGGACAUGGCUCAGAUCCUGUGUUGCUGUGGCGGUGGUGUAGGCUGGCAGCUGUAGCUCCAUUUCGACCCCUAGGCUGGGAACCUCCAUAUGCUGAGGGUGCGGCCCUAAAAAGAAAAAGAAAAGAAAAUAGCCCCAGCCUUUGACCAGGUUGACCCAGUUACAGUAAUGAAGCGACCCAUCUGGGAGUUCACUGUCAUCUAUAGCUGACCACCCCCAAACUCAGAUUUAUCUUAUUUAUUUAAUAUUUUUAAAAAUAUUUGUUCUUUUUUGGCUGCCCCGAGGCAUAUGGAGCUCCCGAGCCAGCAAUCAGAUCUGAGCUGCAGUUUCAACCUACACUACAGCUGCAAGCAAUGCCAGAUUCUUAACCCAUUGUGCCAGGAAGGGAAUUGAACCCAUGCCCCCGGGUUUCAGAGAUGCUGCCAAUCCCAUUGCACCCCAGUGGGAACUCCAAACUCAGAUUUACAAUAAUAAACAGUUUUUUUGCACACAAGUGUCAAGAACUGUGAAGAAUCUAAGGUAUUAUCCUAUUUCCAAGUUACUGAGUGAGCCAGCUGGUUUCAUGGGGGCCGGGAGGAGACAUGCAUCUUCUGGAUCCAAGAGGAAGGGUGGUUUAUUAAUCUCAGCAUUGGCAGUUGUCAGAACACCAGCAUUUGCCCCAGUUCUUAACGUUCUGAUUCUCACCCAGCAACACAGUUGGGACAGGGGGUACCUGCACACACAGCAGCUUACACAAAAAUGCACCACAGUCCAUUCAAGGUGGAUUGUGGACGUAAAUGCAAAAGGUAAAAUAGUAAAGCUUCCAGGAGAGCAACUUGAGACAGACAAAGAAAUUAAUGAUUUGGCCUCGAUUUCCAGUCCAAGCAGCUGCUUGAGAGGUCGGACCAAGGCAAGACCGCCUCGCUGAGCAGCAGAGCCGCCCAGGGCCCCUGGGUCUGUACCUUCUUUCAUCCAGUCAUUCAUCCCAAGUUUAUUAAGAGUCAACUAUGGCCAAGGCUAACAGCAAUGAAAAAACAAAGACAUGAACCGCCAAUGAAAAAUGGAUUAGACUUCAUUACGAGUAUAAUUUGGGGGCAGAGCCUCCUUGCCUGUCAAAAAAAAAAAAAGUAUAUUUGGGAGUUCCCAUUGUGGCUCAGCGAGUUAAGGACCUGACACAGUAUCCAUGAGGUCCAUGAGGACAUGUUCUGAUCCCUGGCCUUGGUCAGUGGGUUAAGCAUCCGGUGUUGCUAUGGCUGUGGUGUAUGCCUGCAGCUGCAGUUCUGAUUCAACCUCUAGCCUGGGAACUUCACAUUUGCUGAGUUUUACUAUAACGCUAAAAUUUCUGAAAACUUGUGGCUAAAGCUUUGGUGCCAGAUCAGUGACCAGGAUCAGUAGGGCUGGUUCGCCUGGCAUCUGGAAGCCAGCUUUAGCUUCCAGGUCCCUUAAGGCUGCUGGCACCAUUAAAGGCUGCAUUUCCCAGAGCAUCAGGCUAAUCAAAGCCAGCCGUAGCCAUUCCUCUCCCUGCCCCAAGCUUACCAUUACUGAUCUCAAGAGUGCCCCAUUGCCCCCUGAUCAGCCAUGCCAGUGCCAUAUGCUGCAGGUGCGGCCGUAAAAAGAAAAAUAAAUAAAAACAAAUGUUUAGAGUUCCUAUCGUGGAGCAGCGGAAACAAAUCCAAGUAAGAACCAUGAGGUUCUGGAUUCCAUCCCUGGUCUCGCUCAGUGUGUUAAGGAUCCGGUGUUGCUGUGAGCUGUGGUGUAGGUUGCAGACAAAUCUCGGAUCCUGCGUUGCUGUGGCUCUGGUGUAGGUCGGCAGCUGUAGCUCCGAUUAGACUCCUAGCCUAGGAACCUCCAU
RNAcentral lists this long non-coding RNA (2408 nucleotides) under Sus scrofa (pig). RNAcentral's name for it is "lncRNA (ENSSSCG00065047949.1, ENSSSCG00160040195.1)". The record is from RNAcentral. Lineage: Eukaryota; Metazoa; Chordata; Mammalia; Artiodactyla; Suidae.